CAGAACGAACGCUGGCGGCAGGCCUUAACACAUGCAAGUCGAACGGAUCCUUCGGGAUUAGUGGCAGACGGGUGAGUAACGCGUGGGAAGCUACCUUGUGGUAGGGAACAACAGUUGGAAACGACUGCUAAUACCCUAUGAGCCCUAUGGGGGAAAGAUUUAUCGCCAUGAGAUGUGCCCGCGUUAGAUUAGCUAGUUGGUAAGGUAAUGGCUUACCAAGGCGACGAUCUAUAGCUGGUCUGAGAGGAUGAUCAGCCACACUGGGACUGAGACACGGCCCAGACUCCUACGGGAGGCAGCAGUGGGGAAUAUUGGACAAUGGGGGCAACCCUGAUCCAGCCAUGCCGCGUGUGUGAUGACGGCCUUAGGGUUGUAAAGCACUUUCAGCAGUGAAGAUAAUGACAUUAACUGCAGAAGAAGCCCCGGCUAACUUCGUGCCAGCAGCCGCGGUAAUACGAAGGGGGCUAGCGUUGUUCGGAAUCACUGGGCGUAAAGCGUACGUAGGCGGACUGAUCAGUCAGGGGUGAAAUCCCGGGGCUCAACCCCGGAACUGCCUUUGAUACUGUCAGUCUUGAGAUCGAGAGAGGUGAGUGGAACUCCGAGUG
RNAcentral lists this ribosomal RNA (605 nucleotides) under Beijerinckiaceae bacterium W93. Its description in RNAcentral is "bacterial SSU rRNA". It matches the Rfam family "Bacterial small subunit ribosomal RNA", at positions 25 to 675 of the family's 1533-position model. Lineage: Bacteria; Pseudomonadati; Pseudomonadota; Alphaproteobacteria; Hyphomicrobiales; Beijerinckiaceae. The record is from RNAcentral.